RNAcentral lists this long non-coding RNA (3143 nucleotides) under Triticum aestivum (bread wheat). RNAcentral describes it as "long non-coding RNA (TAES_LNC027314)". Lineage: Eukaryota; Viridiplantae; Streptophyta; Magnoliopsida; Poales; Poaceae. The record is from RNAcentral.
GUGAAAUAUCUUGACAAGAUCAUAAAACAACCAAAUUGGACCGUUACCAGGUAGCCACGACCCACCCCUGAGAACAAACUCAGAAAAAUAUGUAAAAGAUAUAGCUAAUAUAGCGACCAUAUCCACGUCCAUAAUACAACCAUAAUGCAUAUCCACGUCCAUGUCUUCCUGAUAUGCUUCUACGACACACUUCUCUAGGACUGGACUUAAGAGGGCUACUACACCAACAAACAUAAGCAUCCGAUAAUUGCCUAUUCUUCUGAUUUAUUUGUAGGUUUUUAUACUAUACCAAGGUUGGGGGCUACGAAGAAGUGAAUCUUGAGGAGGCAUCAUCGAUCUGUAUUGAGGACUCUAGAUCUCUGAUCGAUCCUCUUAGUGCAAGGAGCCACACCAUCUGUAAACCAUUGUAGGAUACUACAAAAUGGAUAAAAUUUCAUUCAACAUAAGUGCAUAACAAUAGUAAGUCAUUCAAGGGAAAUCUUAACAAGUAAACAAAUUAAUGUUACCAUUAUUCAAAAAGGAAAGAUGCCUACUCAUUUUGAAAAGAGUAUGCCUACCCAUUUUUAAAAGAGCAUGCCUACUCAUUGUCGUAGCCUUGGUGUCAUCAGAAAGAGCCUAUCUAUGUAAUAAAACGCUCACUGGAAAACCUCAAUUGCAAGAGCAAUCAGGUAGCAAGGCUCAAACAAAAGAUGUAAAGCAACAAGUGAUAUAUCUGAUUGUCUUCCUCUCCAUGUUGUGUCUUCUCUUCUUCUCACUUCCCCCUAGGCAGCAACCAUCGUGAUACCUAUUUGCAGUGGCGGAGUUACCUAAAAAAUGUUGGCGGGCUGGAUAGUGCAAAUAGCACCACCAAACUAAAAAUCAAUGCAAUAUUGUGGGAUAAACUUCAUGUAAAACUCCUUUUCGCUCUAGCCCAGGGCGGGCCAUGGCCCUUUGAGCCUUGCCAUAGCUCCACUGGUGCCUAUUUGCUUGUCUUCCCUACCAUGUUUUAGGAGUGUAUGAAGGCUGGUGCAAAUAAUCCCAAUUUACACAAUGGGGAAUGCCGGUAAAAGAUAGAUCGAUUGGACUCACAUAAGCUGGCACAUAGUUUACUAUGACUAAUCACUCUGUUAACUGAUGAGAGUGUAAACACAUGCUGUUGGCUAGUAGCUAAUACUGUAGAAAUAGAAAUAUAAUUUGGCAUUGUAAAGGUGAUCCCGCCACUACCUCAUGUAGCAAAUAAAUCAUAGGUAUAUAACGGAUUGGAAAAUAGAAAUCUCACCAAGCAAGACCGGAUAUGUAGGACCCAGAUCUGGUUUUGAUGUCAAUUAUGUUGUGGCCGCUCCCAACCUUGAAGCAAUGGUCUAUCGUGGAAUUCUUCCAGCUGCAUAUGAACUAAGAUUUAGAAAUUUGGCAUGUAAUUACUUCUGCAAGUUGUUGAACACUCAAAUUUGAUAACAUAGUAAUUCCGCCAAAACAGAAUAACUAAUGACAAAUAGGCAAGAAUCGACAACAGCCCUGCAACAUACCUCAUCUUCUUUCAAGUGACCCUAGUUGUUCUUUAAUUAGUAGAAACACAUAACGGCGGCUCAGAUCAUAUUCCCUCUGUCCAAACAUAUGAACAUAAUUACAGGGUAAGCAAGACUUAUACGAUCAUGGCAUAAUCCACCAUUUUAUAUGGGGUGUGAUAGUUCAAACGGCAUGCCCCGAUAAUUUUCAAGUGUCAGAUUUUAUUUAGGGCCUGAAACAACCAGUGUUACGGCUCUAGGGUGCACAUGAUACAAGCAUCAAAAAACAUGGCAUUGCACCCUCUAGCAUAUAAUGCAAUCGACCUAUCAAGGAAAUAUAUCUGGCAAAGGUCAGUGUAAUCCAAACCUAGCUUAUGCAAACUGCAACCAAGAUAAACCUUGAUGAGCUUACCCAAUGGUGGUCGAUACAUGACUGUAAAAUUAAGAACCACUGAAUCUAAUUCAAACACAAAAGAACAAAGGAGAGCUUAUGAUAUCUUGCUAGCCACUGCAGCACCACCCCUCCAUUGCGACCUCCUCGUCGAUUCUGCAGCCGGCAGCCAUACUAAUGUGAGGAGAUAUGGGGGCGCGGGCUGGCGAACAGAGGAUGGGAACCCAUGCGGGGAGGCCGCGACGGCGUCAGCAACACAAAAGCGUUGUAGAUGUAUGCGGCUCGGUUUAGUCGCAGGGUCGUAUGUGGAGGAACUAAGGAUGUUGCAGCCUGACAUACAAUUAGUGAGGAAAACCAUUUUAAAUGAAACAAACUUAGGGAGGCUGUCAUUCUAAAAGAAUAGUACAAUUAGUUAGUGCAGCUAUGAGAUUCUCACACUGGAUCCACAAUGUCCGUUCCAUGCCAACAAGCAUCUGCCAACGUUACAUAUAAGUUUCUCUUAUUUAUUUUGUGUGUGGAAUUUACUUGAUAGUAUAACUUUGCAGUCGGUAUUUUCUAUAUAAAAUACACUCUGGCAUUUGAAAAGGUAGUCAAAAGAUUAAGAUUGUGAAAUGAGCCUUCCAAGGCUCAAAACGGAACCGGUAAAAUCUGGCAUAAGCUAGUGUUCAAAUCACUGACUAUCAGUGUGCACCGUUCAUUGGUACCAGACUAUUAGCUAUAUCAGGCUGUAAAGAAACACCAAACUCAUAUUCUUCCUGUAAGAGAACUCACAGGGAUAUGUAAACAAGAUGCAAACAUAGCAAACAUGUAUGUCCAGAUAAUCAAUUUCUGCAAAUUAAUCAUUGGAAAACAACACUGGAGCAACACCAUUCAAAGACAGUCAAACACCAACCUGCGAGUACGGAUGUACUAUGCUACCUCCAGAUUGUUGGAAGGGAUAGACUCCCAGGAUCUGGAAAACCUUGCCGCUCCAACCAAUCAAAGCAUACAAUGGUUAGCUUCAGAGCAUAAAUGAUGUAUGUAAUAGUUGAGAUAUAGCAAAAUAAAGAGAAUCAAACUGGGAGGGCCCUAGGAUGUUGUUCUGUAGGCAAUAAUGGAUUCGUGAAAUCUCUGGACAAGAAAAGAGAUUCACCACGCGUGACUAUCAUGUUAACUGAAACUACACAGUAACUGUCAAGCUUUAUAAAAGAUGCAAACCUUAGUAUUCGUUCAAGACUUGGCCUCACCUCCAUUUAGAUUCAAGCCUUAGAAUUCAAGGCAAAGACGUC